UAAACUGUCAACCCUGAUGAGAUCAUCCGAAUCGUGCUCAACUCAAUUAGUCUUGUGACUCCUCACUAGGACUACCCUGGCCAAGAUUUUGCUAAAUUGAAACACGACUGUACACAGCUCCUCAACUGGAGUGGUCAAUCCCAUCUUGACACACGCACCGACAAGUCAAGUACUUGACUACACCCAGCAGCCUUCCGUCACUGAAAUAGAAAUUCAGGUAGUCCAGUGCCUAAGUACAGUGAGUUGCUUGCAAGUCACCGUGGCGGUUU
This 269-nucleotide long non-coding RNA is filed under the name Elaeis guineensis (African oil palm). RNAcentral describes it as "long non-coding RNA (EGUI_LNC071224)". The record is from RNAcentral. Lineage: Eukaryota; Viridiplantae; Streptophyta; Magnoliopsida; Arecales; Arecaceae.